AUCGCUUCUCGGCCCUUUGGCUGAGAUCAUGUGUAGUAUCUGUUCUUGUCAGCUUAGUAUCUGGCAAGCUGGGCAUUGCCUGGCACCAAUAUUAAACUGAUUUAAUACUUCCCGGGCUUACACCGAAGCUCGCUUCAGUUGACUCACUUAUUGUACCGGUCUCACACUACCAUCGGGUACAGUUCACCCGAA
Small nuclear RNA from Symsagittifera roscoffensis, 192 nucleotides. RefSeq annotates it as U2 spliceosomal RNA. The record is from RefSeq and is a predicted model, not a curated record. The transcript has a single exon. NCBI's taxonomy places the organism in Eukaryota, Metazoa, Xenacoelomorpha, Acoela, Convolutidae.